Molecule: ribosomal RNA, 588 nt
Filed under: uncultured bacterium
Lineage: Bacteria
Description: partial 16S ribosomal RNA
Rfam family: Bacterial small subunit ribosomal RNA
Source: RNAcentral
UGGGGAAUUUUGGACAAUGGGCGCAAGCCUGAUCCAGCCAUGCCGCGUGCGGGAAGAAGGCCUUCGGGUUGUAAACCGCUUUUGUCAGGGAAGAAAUCUUCUGAGUUAAUACCUCGGGAGGAUGACGGUACCUGAAGAAUAAGCACCGGCUAACUACGUGCCAGCAGCCGCGGUAAUACGUAGGGUGCAAGCGUUAAUCGGAAUUACUGGGCGUAAAGCGUGCGCAGGCGGUUUUGUAAGACAGAGGUGAAAUCCCCGGGCUCAACCUGGGAACUGCCUUUGUGACUGCAAGGCUUGAGUGCGGCAGAGGGGGAUGGAAUUCCGCGUGUAGCAGUGAAAUGCGUAGAUAUGCGGAGGAACACCGAUGGCGAAGGCAAUCCCCUGGGCCUGCACUGACGCUCAUGCACGAAAGCGUGGGGAGCAAACAGGAUUAGAUACCCUGGUAGUCCACGCCCUAAACGAUGUCAACUGGUUGUUGGGAAGGUUCCUUCUCAGUAACGUAGCUAACGCGUGAAAGUUGACCGCCUGGGGAGUACGGCCGCAAGGUUGAAAACUCAAAGGAAUUGACGGGGUCAUAGCUGUUUCCUG